Molecule: ribosomal RNA, 392 nt
Filed under: uncultured bacterium
Lineage: Bacteria
Description: partial 16S ribosomal RNA
Rfam family: Bacterial small subunit ribosomal RNA
Source: RNAcentral
AUACGGAGGAUCCGAGCGUUAUCCGGAUUUAUUGGGUUUAAAGGGUGCGCAGGCGGCCAUUUAAGUCAGCGGUUAAAUCGUGGGGCUCAACCCCAUUCUGCCGUUGAUACUGGGUGGCUUGAUUGCGGUCGAGGUUGGCGGAAUUCGUUGUGUAGCGGGGAAAUGCAUAGAUAUGACGAAGAACACCGAUUGCGUAGGCAGCUGACCAGACCGCAAAUGACGCUCAUGCACGAAAGUGCGUGGAUCGAACAGGAUUAGAUACCCUGGUAGUCCGCACAGUAAACGAUGAAUACUUGUUUUCGGCGAUAUAAUGUCGGAGGCAAAGCGAAAGCGAUAAGUAUUCCACCUGGGGAGUGCGCCGGCAACGGUGAAACUCAAAGGAAUUGACGGGG